GCCACUUUCUCCCUUUCCCUCCCCCCCCCUCCACCCCGUUUUAUCUUUCCUUAGCCUCACAACCUCCGUGGCUGAGACCGAAGGGCCGGGUCUUCCCCCCCCAAAGCCCGAAAGAGUCCCAUAAGAAGAUCCAGGCGACGAGACGUGUGUGUGUAUGGGGGGGGGGGGGAGAAUUGGGCUAAGGUUUAGAGAAGGGUCGGGGAAGAUGCCCGGUUUUUAAGGCAGAGAGCCAUGGGCUGUCCUCCCUCGGGGAGUUUGGAAGGGGGCCAAGGCCGGCUGGAUUGCCCCCCACCCACCCACUCACUCACUCACUCACUCCCCAGCAUGGAUCGCGACGUUCGCAGAGGCGGCGGGAAAAGGCCCUUCGGAAAGCCCACCUCGAAAGCCGGAGAAGCCGAGCUGGCUGGGUGGGUGGGUAGGAUGUGCGCUCCCGGGCACCGACGGCGCUGAAAUCAACAGGCUCGUUCAAGAGAGACGGCGGGCGUCUGAAACCCCACCGCCUGCGGCGAUAACCUCCGGGCGCUUCGCGGGGGGGUGAGCGGUGGGGCGAGGCAGAGCAAGCACCCAAUUAAGUCGGAGUGGCUAACGCGGAGCGGUAGACGGGAAGCAGCGCCGGAGGAGUCUGGAAGAAACCCAGCGGGCGUCGAGGCAAUCAGGCCCGCGACGCCUGUUUAAUACAAACAGAAUUAAUGCCGGUUAAUUAAAAUACACCAGGGUAAGGCAAAGGCGCGAGUGGCCCCGAAACGAAAGGAUGGCGCGCUUUCUCGCUGCCCUUCGCAAGCAGCCGCCUUCGCUCCAGCCUCUCGGGGCUUCGGAGAAAGAAGAUCCGGGGAACCAGUGCCGGGGCUUCGCUCCUCAGUUUCCUUCAGCCGGGGCUUCUGGGGAACCCAGGCCCGGCAGCCCUGGAUUUGUUGAGGACUUCCUUCCGAGGCGAUCUUUGAGCAAGGGAGGCUGCCUCAAAUUGCCCCGGGAUUCAAGCUGCAGCUUCCGCUUCCAACCAGCCGGCGUUGGAAGUGAGCGCCUCUGCCGACGAGGCCUUGAGAUUUGCUACAGAGGAGACCCGGUGCGGUUUGGCGGGAAACUGGGCUCCUGCUCCUCUGAAGGUGGUGUUUGCAAGCCAAAAUGAAAAUUACUCCCGCCUGUUUUGCUUCUCUGUGUGUUUAAUUAAUCCAGAUCCAAUAUUGGGAGUUUUUAAAAUAUAAGGUUACAGGAGAGGGCACGAGAAAGAGUUUUCGGAAUCAUCGCCCACCAACGUUCUUACUGUAGGUUUCUAUUAAAAUAAAAUAAAAUAAAAAUAGUACGUGGGUACGUGUGGUCGCCGGAUCCACGGAAAAUGAGAUUCCUUUUUUUUUUUAAAGCGGGAAAAGGCCCCUCCACAAUAUUUGGAAAUAAGCCUGUGUUUUAAUUUCAUCUCCGAUUCAUGUGCUUCCCACUACUGUAUAUGUACUUAAAAGUUCCAGUCUACCUUUGCUCAGAGAAAUAAACUUUUAAACAAGCUGG
Molecule: long non-coding RNA, 1500 nt
Organism: Crotalus tigris (Tiger rattlesnake)
Lineage: Eukaryota; Metazoa; Chordata; Lepidosauria; Squamata; Viperidae
Exons: 2
Source: RefSeq, a predicted model, not a curated record